GACAGAGGUGCCGAGCGUUAGGCGGAAUCACUGGGCUUAAAGCGUGUGUAGGCGGGCGAUCAAGUACCUUGUGAAAUCCCACGGCUCAACCGUGGAACCGCUGGGUAUACUGGUUGUCUUGAGCCGGCUAGGGGCGAGCGGAACAGACGGUGGGGCGGUGAAAUGCGUAGAUAUCGUCUGGAACGCCGAAGGUGAAAACAGCUCGCUGGGGCCGCGCUGACGCUGAGACACGAAAGCCCAGGGGAGCGAACGGG
RNAcentral lists this ribosomal RNA (254 nucleotides) under uncultured bacterium. Its description in RNAcentral is "partial 16S ribosomal RNA". It matches the Rfam family "Bacterial small subunit ribosomal RNA", at positions 524 to 776 of the family's 1533-position model. The record is from RNAcentral.